RNAcentral lists this ribosomal RNA (739 nucleotides) under Piptocephalis lepidula. Its description in RNAcentral is "eukaryotic LSU rRNA". It matches the Rfam family "Eukaryotic large subunit ribosomal RNA", at positions 56 to 642 of the family's 3401-position model. Lineage: Eukaryota; Fungi; Zoopagomycota; Zoopagomycetes; Zoopagales; Piptocephalidaceae. The record is from RNAcentral.
GAAAAGAAACCAACAGGGAUUCCCCUAGUAACGGCGAGUGAAGCGGGAAAAGCUCAAAUUUGAAAUCGUGUCCGGGUAACCGGGUCAUGAGUUGUAAUUUGAUGAGGCAAGUUUGGUGGGCGCCUGGGUCAAAGUCCUUUGGAAAAGGGUAUCAUAGAGGGUGACAAUCCCGUCUGUGACUCAGUCAGCGGUCUAUCGUGUAAACUGCCUUCAAAGAGUCGGGUUGUUUGGGAAUGCAGCCCUAAGCUGGUGGUAAAUUCCAUCUAAAGCUAAAUAUUCGUGAGAGACCGAUAGCGAACAAGUACCGUGAGGGAAAGUUGAAAAGCACUCUGGAGAGAGAGUCAAACAGCACGUGAAAUUGUUAACAGGGAAACGUUGGGCCCCAGUACGCGCCUCGCGUAAAAUCAACCAUCUCUUCCCCUAGGGUAUCCGCGUCGGGUGGAUGAGUCCUUAAUAAGGGCCAUUAUUCGGUCGGUGCCAGAGGGGGGUGGUGCACUUUUGCGUGGGCGGGUCAACGUCAGUUAGGACCACCGGAAAAUCCUGAGAGGAAUGUUGGCGAAGGAAACGGACCCACUUAUAGCCUCUUUUGAAAGCGGUGAUCUUGACUGAGGAGUCGCGGCCUUAUUAUAUGAUGAGAGCGUCUCUCUUUCCCCUAGGGUAAGGCAGCUUGCUGACUUAACUUGGUAAGGGAGGGGACUAUGUUUUUAUCUGAUGAGGUACGGACGUGCGAAGCGUGCUU